RNAcentral lists this ribosomal RNA (478 nucleotides) under uncultured bacterium. RNAcentral's name for it is "partial 16S ribosomal RNA". It matches the Rfam family "Bacterial small subunit ribosomal RNA", at positions 28 to 523 of the family's 1533-position model. The record is from RNAcentral.
GACGAACGCUGGCGGCGUGCUUAACACAUGCAAGUCGAACGGUAAGGCCCUUCGGGGUACACGAGUGGCGAACGGGUGAGUAACACGUGGGUGAUCUGCCCUGCACUUCGGGAUAAGCCUGGGAAACUGGGUCUAAUACCGGAUAGGACUACUGCCUGCAUGGGUGGUGGUGGAAAGCUUUUGCGGUGUGGGAUGGGCCCGCGGCCUAUCAGCUUGUUGGGGGGGUGAUGGCCUACCAAGGCGACGACGGGUAGCCGGCCUGAGAGGGUGACCGGCCACACUGGGACUGAGAUACGGCCCAGACUCCUACGGGAGGCAGCAGUGGGGAAUAUUGCCCAAUGGGCGCAAGCCUGAUGCAGCGACGCCGCGUGAGGGAUGACGGCCUUCGGGUUGUAAACCUCUUUCAGCACCGACGAAGCGCAAGUGACGGUAGGUGCAGAAGAAGGACCGGCCAACUACGUGCCAGCCGCCGCAGUAA